GAUCAACGCUGACAGAAUGCUUAACACAUGCAAGUCGAUGAUGGGAGCUAGCUUGCUAGGAGAAGUCAUGGCGGACGGGUGAGUAACGUGUAAAGAACUUACCAUAUAGACUGGGAUAACAGAGGGAAACUUCUGAUAAUACUGGAUAAGUUAGUAGUAGCAUUACUAAGUAAUGAAAGGUAGCAAUACGCUAUAUGAGAGCUUUGCAUCCUAUUAGCUAGUUGGUGGGGUAAAAGCCUACCAAGGCGAUGAUAGGUAGCCGGCCUGAGAGGGUGGACAGCCACAAGGGGACUGAGAUACGGCCCUUACUCCUACGGGAGGCAGCAGUGGGGAAUAUUGGACAAUGGAGGCAACUCUGAUCCAGCAAUUCUGUGUGUGUGAAGAAGGCUUUAGGACUGUAAAACACUUUUAGUAGGGAAGAAAGAAAUGACGGUACCUACAGAAGAAGCGACGGCUAAAUACGUG
Molecule: ribosomal RNA, 465 nt
Filed under: uncultured bacterium
Lineage: Bacteria
Description: partial 16S ribosomal RNA
Rfam family: Bacterial small subunit ribosomal RNA
Source: RNAcentral